UGGGUUGUGGCUCAGUGGUAGAGCCCUUGCCUAGCAUGUGUGAGGUACUGGGUUCGAUUCUCAACACCUCAU
This 72-nucleotide transfer RNA is filed under the name Marmota marmota marmota (Alpine marmot). It matches the Rfam family "tRNA". From Rfam's summary of the family: Transfer RNA (tRNA) molecules are approximately 80 nucleotides in length. Their secondary structure includes four short double-helical elements and three loops (D, anti-codon, and T loops). RNAcentral also lists the same sequence under 1 other name. Lineage: Eukaryota; Metazoa; Chordata; Mammalia; Rodentia; Sciuridae. The record is from Rfam by way of RNAcentral.